This is a non-coding RNA of Steccherinum ochraceum, 86 nucleotides long. The record is from the annotation of a GenBank genome assembly. Lineage: Eukaryota; Fungi; Basidiomycota; Agaricomycetes; Polyporales; Steccherinaceae.
GGGCAUUUGGCACAGUGGUAGCGCGCACGCUUCGCAUUUGCUUCAGUGCCUGCGUGAGGUCCAGGGUUCGACUCCCUGAAUGUCCA